CCUUCAAUAAAUGAAGGAGAUUAUGUGAAUAGGAAAUCUGUCCACAGCAUUAAUGUACAGAUCAUAUGUGACGCAGCCCACAUGAUAAAUAAUGUGGAAGCGAAGUGGCCUGGGUCUGUGUAUGACUCACGAAUGUUUCGUGAGUCUACACUGAGUGCCAGAUUUGCCCGUGGAGAGUUUGAUGGUUAUCUACUCGGAGACAGAGGGUACCCCUGCCAGCGCUAUCUGCUGAC
Molecule: long non-coding RNA, 233 nt
Organism: Gadus morhua (Atlantic cod)
Lineage: Eukaryota; Metazoa; Chordata; Actinopteri; Gadiformes; Gadidae
Exons: 3
Source: RefSeq, a predicted model, not a curated record